UCCUCGGGGCAAAGGGAAAUCAUCCUCCCCGUAUAGCACUGACUCGCCAUCUGAGUCCACUUCGCGCCUACGAAGCUUGGCCAAAGGAAUAUCAGGAGCCUGUCUAGCUUCUCUUAAACCGCGAUUGUAGCCAGUUACAUACAUGCGGAAGGCCUUAUCAAUGAUAGCCUGUUUCAUUUCACCAGAAGCUUUAUACUCAUCAAGAUGUUCUUCACACGCCUCAGCUACAAAUUCCUUAAAUUCAGAAGAGUCUUUGUAAUCCUGAAGAUGAGCUUCACAUGCCUGUUCAAUUUUAACCUUCAGCUCAUCAGACUCCUGAUACUCCGCUAUAUACUGUUCACGCUUUAGCUGAGCCUUCCCUUCGGCACACUUUACCACCUCGAGCAGGGCUAAACAUUUACGUUCCAAAGCCCUGACUUCAUUUUUUAGCUGUUGUUGGCGAAGGUUGAAUUCUUCAGCCGAUGAAGACAGAUCUUUGACACGUUCAGAACUUGUGCCCAAUUCCUGCUCAAGG
This 514-nucleotide long non-coding RNA is filed under the name Manihot esculenta (cassava). RNAcentral describes it as "long non-coding RNA (MESC_LNC002539)". The record is from RNAcentral. Lineage: Eukaryota; Viridiplantae; Streptophyta; Magnoliopsida; Malpighiales; Euphorbiaceae.